UACGGAGGGGGCUAGCGUUGUUCGGAAUUACUGGGCGUAAAGCGCACGUAGGCGGCUUUGUAAGUUAGAGGUGAAAGCCCAGGGCUUAACCCUGGAAUUGCCUUUAAGACUGCAUCGCUAGAAUCGUGGAGAGGUGAGUGGAAUUCCGAGUGUAGAGGUGAAAUUCGUAGAUAUUCGGAAGAACACCAGUGGCGAAGGCGACUCACUGGACACGUAUUGACGCCGAGGUGCGAAAGCGUGGGGAGCAAACAGG
RNAcentral lists this ribosomal RNA (253 nucleotides) under uncultured bacterium. Its description in RNAcentral is "partial 16S ribosomal RNA". It matches the Rfam family "Bacterial small subunit ribosomal RNA", at positions 524 to 776 of the family's 1533-position model. The record is from RNAcentral.